GUGAGUACUUUGGAUUGGCGCUAUCGGAGUUGCUUUUGUGAUUCCUUUAGACUGCCGAGAAGUCGCGCAAACUAAUCUAUUUAGAGGAAGUAAAAGUCGUAACAAGGUUUCCGUAGGUGAACCUGCGGAAGGAUCAUUACCGAAUGACCGUAUGUGUUAUACACUGUGAACUGUACGCUUCAAAACAGAGUGGGGUAUCUUCUGCUAAGAAGAUUUGAAAGGUAAUCAUAACGUGACAACCUGCCCCGCUUUGAAACUUUGAAACUUAUAUAUAUACACCAUUAUAUUCCAAGCGUUAACUAUUUUUAGUUGACUCAAUGUAAAAAUUGUGACAACUUCUAACGGUGGAUCUCUUGGCUCGUGUAUCGAUGAAGAACGUAGCCAGUUGCGAUAAGUAAUGUGAAUUGCAGAAUGAAGUGAAUCAUCGAAUCUUUGAACGCAAAUUGCACUCUCUGGAUAUCCGGGGAGUAUGCCUGUCUGAGUGUCGUGUCAAACCUAAACACACACUUGUGUGUGUUGCUUGAGAGCUCUUGUUACUUGUAACAAGUCUCUUGAUGUUACUGUGAGUUGUUCGCACUAGUGAACAGAAGGCUCAACUUGCUUCUGUCUUUCUGACACUUGUGUGGGCACAUUAUUGUGUUUGUACUCUUUGCCAGUCCGAACAAUAUAUAACAUCUUUGACCUCAGAUCAGACAAGAUUACCCGCUGAAUUUAAGCAUAUUAAUAAGCGGAGGAAAAGAAACUAACCAGGAUUCCCUUAGUAACGGCGAGUGAAGCGGGAAGAGCUCAAGCUUGAAAUCUCUGUUGCUUGCAACAGCGAAUUGUAGUCUACGGAAGUAUUGUCAAGGCAAUGUGUUUGUGCUCAAGUUGCUUGGAACGGCAUGUCAAAGAGGGUGAGAACCCCGUUUGCGGCACAAAC
This 919-nucleotide ribosomal RNA is filed under the name Sugiura chengshanense. RNAcentral describes it as "eukaryotic LSU rRNA". The stretch from base 679 to 919 matches the Rfam family "Eukaryotic large subunit ribosomal RNA", at positions 1 to 235 of the family's 3401-position model. Lineage: Eukaryota; Metazoa; Cnidaria; Hydrozoa; Leptothecata; Sugiuridae. The record is from RNAcentral.